This 468-nucleotide ribosomal RNA is filed under the name uncultured bacterium. RNAcentral's name for it is "partial 16S ribosomal RNA". It matches the Rfam family "Bacterial small subunit ribosomal RNA", at positions 28 to 507 of the family's 1533-position model. The record is from RNAcentral.
GACGAACGCUGGCGGCGUGCUUAACACAUGCCAGUCGAACGGAAAGGCCCUGCUUUUGUGGGGUGCUCGAGUGGCGAACGGGUGAGUAACACGUGAGUAACCUGCCCUUGACUUUGGGAUAACUUCAGGAAACUGGGGCUAAUACCGGAUAGGAGCUCCUGCUGCAUGGUGGGGGUUGGAAAGUUUCGGCGGUUGGGGAUGGACUCGCGGCUUAUCAGCUUGUUGGUGGGGUAGUGGCUUACCAAGGCUUUGACGGGUAGCCGGCCUGAGAGGGUGACCGGCCACAUUGGGACUGAGAUACGGCCCAGACUCCUACGGGAGGCAGCAGUGGGGAAUAUUGCACAAUGGGCGGAAGCCUGAUGCAGCAACGCCGCGUGCGGGAUGACGGCCUUCGGGUUGUAAACCGCUUUCGCCUGGGACGAAGCGUGAGUGACGGUAAUGGGUAAAGAAGCACCGGCUAACUACGUG